AAAGCAUCAUGCAGCCAAGGAUGACUUGCCGACACUUCAUCUAGGAGUUGGCAAGUUGUUCUUGGCUAUAUGUUUCUUUCU
Molecule: microRNA precursor, 81 nt
Filed under: Jatropha curcas
Lineage: Eukaryota; Viridiplantae; Streptophyta; Magnoliopsida; Malpighiales; Euphorbiaceae
Source: RNAcentral